This 20-nucleotide unclassified non-coding RNA is filed under the name Mus musculus (house mouse). RNAcentral describes it as "oocyte_clustered_small_RNA10035". Lineage: Eukaryota; Metazoa; Chordata; Mammalia; Rodentia; Muridae. The record is from RNAcentral.
ACUUGUGUGCCUUUGAUCAG